This 253-nucleotide ribosomal RNA is filed under the name uncultured bacterium. RNAcentral describes it as "partial 16S ribosomal RNA". It matches the Rfam family "Bacterial small subunit ribosomal RNA", at positions 524 to 776 of the family's 1533-position model. The record is from RNAcentral.
UACGAAGGGGGCUAGCGUUGCUCGGAAUUACUGGGCGUAAAGGGAGCGUAGGCGGACAGUUUAGUCAGAGGUGAAAGCCCAGGGCUCAACCCUGGAAUUGCCUUUGAUACUGACUGUCUUGAGUGUGGGAGAGGUGUGUGGAACUCCGAGUGUAGAGGUGAAAUUCGUAGAUAUUCGGAAGAACACCAGUGGCGAAGGCGGCUCACUGGCCCGGUACUGACGCUGAGGUGCGAAAGCGUGGGGAGCAAACAGG